CCUACGGGAGGCAGCAGUGAGGAAUAUCGGUCAAUGGCCGGAAGGCUGAACCAGCCAAGUCGCGUGAGGGACGACUGCCCUAUGGGUUGUAAACCUCUUUUAUAAGGGAAGAAUAAAUGCUACGUGUAGCAUGAUGCCUGUACCUUAUGAAUAAGCAUCGGCUAACUACGGAACAGCAGCCGCGGUAAUACGGAGGAUGCGAGCGUUAUCCGGAUUGAUUGGGUUAAAAUGGUGCGUAGGCGGUUUUUUAAGUUAGUGGUAAAACGUCGGGGCUUCACCUUGAUUUGCCAUUAAUACUGUAAGACUCGAGUUCAGACGAGGUAGGCGGAAUAAGUUAAGUAGCGGUGAAAUGCUUAGAUAUAACUUAGAACUCCGAUAGCGAAGGCCGCUUACCAGACUGCGACUGACGCUGAAGCACGAGAGCGUGGGUAGCGAACAGGAUUAGAUACCCCAGUAGUC
RNAcentral lists this ribosomal RNA (459 nucleotides) under uncultured bacterium. RNAcentral's name for it is "partial 16S ribosomal RNA". It matches the Rfam family "Bacterial small subunit ribosomal RNA", at positions 338 to 795 of the family's 1533-position model. The record is from RNAcentral.